Molecule: ribosomal RNA, 391 nt
Filed under: uncultured bacterium
Lineage: Bacteria
Description: bacterial SSU rRNA
Rfam family: Bacterial small subunit ribosomal RNA
Source: RNAcentral
GUGUCAGCAGCCGCGGUAAUACGAAGGACCCAAGCGUUAUCCGGAUUUAUUGGGUUUAAAGGGUGCGUAGGCGGAUUAUUAAGUCAGUGGUGAAAGCCUGCAGCUUAACUGCAGAACUGCCAUUGAUACUGAUGAUCUUGAGUAUGAUUGAGGUGGGCGGAAUGUGUCAUGUAGCGGUGAAAUGCUUAGAUAUGACACAGAACACCGAUUGCGAAGGCAGCUCACUAAGCCAUAACUGACGCUGAUGCACGAAAGCGUGGGGAGCAAACAGGAUUAGAUACCCUGGUAGUCCACGCCCUAAACGAUGAUCACUCGAUGUGUGCGAUACACUGUACGCGUCUGAGCGAAAGCAUUAAGUGAUCCACCUGGGGAGUACGACCGCAAGGUUGAA